This 468-nucleotide ribosomal RNA is filed under the name uncultured bacterium. RNAcentral describes it as "partial 16S ribosomal RNA". It matches the Rfam family "Bacterial small subunit ribosomal RNA", at positions 28 to 507 of the family's 1533-position model. The record is from RNAcentral.
GACGAACGCUGGCGGCGUGCUUAACACAUGCAAGUCGAACGGAAAGGCCCUGCUUUUGUGGGGUGCUCGAGUGGCGAACGGGUGAGUAACACGUGAGUAACCUGCCCUUGACUUUGGGAUAACUUCAGGAAACUGGGGCUAAUACCGGAUAGGAGCUCCUGCUGCAUGGUGGGGGUUGGAAAGUUUCGGCGGUUGGGGAUGGACUCGCGGCUUAUCAGCUUGUUGGUGGGGUAGUGGCUUACCAAGGCUUUGACGGGUAGCCGGCCUGAGAGGGUGACCGGCCACAUUGGGACUGAGAUACGGCCCAGACUCCUACGGGAGGCAGAAGUGGGGAAUAUUGCACAAUGGGCGGAAGCCUGAUGCAGCAACGCCGCGUGCGGGAUGACGGCCUUCGUGUUGUAAACCGCUUGCGCCUGUGACGAAGCGUGAGUGACGGUAAUGGGUAAAGAAGCACCGGCUAACUACGUG